GGCGUGCUAUACAUGCAAGUCGAGCGCUGGAAGCUAAUUUCAUCCCUUCGGGAUGAAAUUAGUGGAAAGAGCGGCGGACGGGUGAGUAACACGUGGGCAACCUACCUAUAAGACUGGGAUAACUCGCGGAAACGUGAGCUAAUACCGGAUAAUACUUUUUAUUGCAUAAUAAGGAGUUUGAAAGGCGGCGUAAGCUGUCACUUAUAGAUGGGCCCGCGGCGCAUUAGCUAGUUGGUGAGGUAAAGGCUCACCAAGGCAACGAUGCGUAGCCGACCUGAGAGGGUGAUCGGCCACACUGGGACUGAGACACGGCCCAGACUCCUACGGGAGGCAGCAGUAGGGAAUCUUCCGCAAUGGACGAAAGUCUGACGGAGCAACGCCGCGUGAGUGAAGAAGGUUUUCGGAUCGUAAAACUCUGUUGUUAGGGAAGAACAAGUCAGGUAGUAACUGACCUGACCUUGACGGUACCUAACCAGAAAGCCACGGCUAACUACGUGCCAGCAGCCGCGGUAAUACGUAGGUGGCAAGCGUUGUCCGGAUUUAUUGGGCGUAAAGCGCUCGCAGGCGGUCUUUUAAGUCUGAUGUGAAAGCCCACGGCUUAACCGUGGAGGGUCAUUGGAAACUGGAGGACUUGAGUGCAGAAGAGGAGAGUGGAAUUCCAUGUGUAGCGGUGAAAUGCGUAGAGAUAUGGAGGAACACCAGUGGCGAAGGCGACUCUCUGGUCUGUAACUGACGCUGAGGAGCGAAAGCGUGGGUAGCGAACAGGAUUAGAUACCCUGGUAGUCCACGCCGUAAACGAUGAGUGCUAGGUGUUAGGGGGUUUCCGCCCCUUAGUGCUGAAGUUAACGCAUUAAGCACUCCC
Molecule: ribosomal RNA, 862 nt
Filed under: Oceanobacillus caeni
Lineage: Bacteria; Bacillati; Bacillota; Bacilli; Caryophanales; Bacillaceae
Description: bacterial SSU rRNA
Rfam family: Bacterial small subunit ribosomal RNA
Source: RNAcentral